CUUGCCCUGCGGUAUUCGAGGAUUGCUCCGAAGGUUUUGAGCCGACACCUAGAUCUCUAGGAGCCCGAGUGGACCGGAGGACGAGGAAUUCCCGGAGGCGCACGCGUCCGGGAAAAGCUCAGAGGCCGGACCCGGGGCACCCCUCUUGUUUUGAGGGUUCAUAAAACCGAGGGGCACACGGUACAGGCGGGGCGCUG
Molecule: non-coding RNA, 197 nt
Filed under: Armatimonadota bacterium
Lineage: Bacteria; Bacillati; Armatimonadota
Description: Armatimonadetes bacterium (sediment metagenome) 6S RNA
Rfam family: 6S / SsrS RNA
About the family: E. coli 6S RNA was the first non coding RNA to be sequenced, but its function was unknown until recently. It consists of 184 nucleotides that fold into an extended hairpin structure with a large single-stranded internal bulge.
Source: RNAcentral